UACGGAGGGUGCAAGCAUUAAUCGGAUUUAUUGGGCGUAAAGGGCGCGUAGGCGGGAAUGUAAGUCAGAUGUGAAAUCCCGGGGCUCAACCCCGGAACAGCAUUUGAAACUGCAUACCUAGAGGGUAGUCGGAGAAAACAGAAUUCCACAAGUAGCGGUGAAAUGCGUAGAUAUGUGGAAGAAUACCGGUGGCGAAGGCGGUUUUCUAGAUUAUACCUGACGCUGAGGCGCGAAAGCAAGGGGAUCAAACAGG
This 253-nucleotide ribosomal RNA is filed under the name uncultured bacterium. RNAcentral describes it as "partial 16S ribosomal RNA". It matches the Rfam family "Bacterial small subunit ribosomal RNA", at positions 524 to 776 of the family's 1533-position model. The record is from RNAcentral.